This 1674-nucleotide ribosomal RNA is filed under the name Campylobacter jejuni. RNAcentral describes it as "partial 23S ribosomal RNA". It matches the Rfam family "Bacterial large subunit ribosomal RNA", at positions 1260 to 2925 of the family's 2925-position model. Lineage: Bacteria; Pseudomonadati; Campylobacterota; Epsilonproteobacteria; Campylobacterales; Campylobacteraceae. The record is from RNAcentral.
ACCGGUAAGGAGUGCUGGAGCGAAUAGAAGUGAGCAUGCAGGCAUGAGUAGCGAUAAUUAAUGUGAGAAUCAUUAACGCCGUAAACCCAAGGUUUCCUACGCGAUGCUCGUCAUCGUAGGGUUAGUCGGGUCCUAAGUCGAGUCCGAAAGGGGUAGACGAUGGCAAAUUGGUUAAUAUUCCAAUACCAACAUUAGUGUGCGAUGGAAGGACGCUUAGGGCUAAGGGGGCUAGCGGAUGGAAGUGCUAGUCUAAGGUCGUAGGAGGUUAUACAGGCAAAUCCGUAUAACAAUACUCCGAGAACUGAAAGGCUUUUUGAAGUCUUCGGAUGGAUAGAAGAACCCCUGAUGCCGUCGAGCCAAGAAAAGUUUCUAAGUUUAGCUAAUGUUGCCCGUACCGUAAACCGACACAGGUGGGUGGGAUGAGUAUUCUAAGGCGCGUGGAAGAACUCUCUUUAAGGAACUCUGCAAAAUAGCACCGUAUCUUCGGUAUAAGGUGUGGUUAGCUUUGUAUUAGGAUUUACUCCGAAAGCAAGGAAACUUACAACAAAGAGUCCCUCCCGACUGUUUACCAAAAACACAGCACUCUGCUAACUCGUAAGAGGAUGUAUAGGGUGUGACGCCUGCCCGGUGCUCGAAGGUUAAUUGAUGGGGUUAGCAUUAGCGAAGCUCUUGAUCGAAGCCCGAGUAAACGGCGGCCGUAACUAUAACGGUCCUAAGGUAGCGAAAUUCCUUGUCGGUUAAAUACCGACCUGCAUGAAUGGCGUAACGAGAUGGGAGCUGUCUCAAAGAGGGAUCCAGUGAAAUUGUAGUGGAGGUGAAAAUUCCUCCUACCCGCGGCAAGACGGAAAGACCCCGUGGACCUUUACUACAGCUUGACACUGCUACUUGGAUAAGAAUGUGCAGGAUAGGUGGGAGGCUUUGAGUAUAUGACGCCAGUUGUAUAUGAGCCAUUGUUGAGAUACCACUCUUUCUUAUUUGGGUAGCUAACCAGCUUGAGUUAUCCUCAAGUGGGACAAUGUCUGGUGGGUAGUUUGACUGGGGCGGUCGCCUCCCAAAUAAUAACGGAGGCUUACAAAGGUUGGCUCAGAACGGUUGGAAAUCGUUCGUAGAGUAUAAAGGUAUAAGCCAGCUUAACUGCAAGACAUACAAGUCAAGCAGAGACGAAAGUCGGUCUUAGUGAUCCGGUGGUUCUGUGUGGAAGGGCCAUCGCUCAAAGGAUAAAAGGUACCCCGGGGAUAACAGGCUGAUCUCCCCCAAGAGCUCACAUCGACGGGGAGGUUUGGCACCUCGAUGUCGGCUCAUCGCAUCCUGGGGCUGGAGCAGGUCCCAAGGGUAUGGCUGUUCGCCAUUUAAAGCGGUACGCGAGCUGGGUUCAGAACGUCGUGAGACAGUUCGGUCCCUAUCUGCCGUGGGCGUAAGAAGAUUGAAGAGAUUUGACCCUAGUACGAGAGGACCGGGUUGAACAAACCACUGGUGUAGCUGUUGUUCUGCCAAGAGCAUCGCAGCGUAGCUAAGUUUGGAAAGGAUAAACGCUGAAAGCAUCUAAGCGUGAAGCCAACUCUAAGAUGAAUCUUCUCUAAGCUCUCUAGAAGACUACUAGUUUGAUAGGCUGGGUGUGUAAUGGAUGAAAGUCCUUUAGCUGACCAGUACUAAUAGAGCGUUUGGCUUAUCUUU